RNAcentral lists this transfer RNA (75 nucleotides) under Poa abbreviata. RNAcentral describes it as "tRNA-Leu". It matches the Rfam family "tRNA". Rfam says of the family: Transfer RNA (tRNA) molecules are approximately 80 nucleotides in length. Their secondary structure includes four short double-helical elements and three loops (D, anti-codon, and T loops). Further hydrogen bonds mediate the characteristic L-shaped molecular structure. tRNAs have two regions of fundamental functional importance: the anti-codon, which is responsible for specific mRNA codon recognition, and the 3' end, to which the tRNAs corresponding amino acid is attached (by aminoacyl-tRNA synthetases). tRNAs cope with the degeneracy of the genetic code in two manners: having more than one tRNA (with a specific anti-codon) for a particular amino acid; and 'wobble' base-pairing, i.e. permitting non-standard base-pairing at the 3rd anti-codon position. The record is from RNAcentral. Lineage: Eukaryota; Viridiplantae; Streptophyta; Magnoliopsida; Poales; Poaceae.
GGGAUAUGGCGAAAUCGGUAGACGCUACGGACUUCNACUUUAUAAGUCGUGAGGGUUCAAGUCCCUCUAUCCCCA